Molecule: long non-coding RNA, 2674 nt
Organism: Leucoraja erinaceus (little skate)
Lineage: Eukaryota; Metazoa; Chordata; Chondrichthyes; Rajiformes; Rajidae
Exons: 3
Source: RefSeq, a predicted model, not a curated record
CUGUGUCCCUGUGAAAAUCACUCUGAUAAACCAGUGCUUCCCUCCAGGGCAAUGGGUAUCAGUGAGAGAAUGCUGUAGAAUGUUGAAAACUUCACCCAAGAUGGUGAGAUAGGCAUCGUUUAUUUACUAAAUCAGAUUUGCUGCAAGUUUAGUAGUUUUAAUCAUAAAUUAAUAGCUUUGAACGUUGCUUUCUAAAAAUAUUCGUCCAUUAUUAAAUUUCUCAUUUUCAUAAAACUUUAAAUAUUUAGAACAUCUUUAAAGUGCCCUCCAUGGAGAAGAAUAAUGAGACCUUUUAUAGACUUAAUUUUUCUUAAUUUCUCUGACUAUAAUCAUAAUUGGUUUAGAACGUGGAUUUUAUCUACCAAAACAGUUUUCCUGCUUCCUCUUCCCUGUAUGGCUACGUAUUCAACAUACAAUUUGUAAUUCACAACACUUUUUCUCACAAAGAGUUGUGAGUCUGUGGAAUUAUCUGACUCAGAGGGCGGUGGAGGCCGGUUCUCUGGAUACUUUCAAGAGAGAGCUAGAAAGGGCUCUUAAAGAUAGCGGAGUCAGGGGAUAUGGGGAGAAGGCAGGAACGGGGUGCUGAUUGGGGAUGAUCAGCCAUGAACACAUUGAAUGGUGGUGCUGGGUCGAAGGGCCGAAUGGCCUACGCCUGCACCUAUUGUCUAUAGUCUAUUGUCUAUUGUAAUUGGCAUUUUUCAUUCCAAGCAAAAUCUACAUGAUUUAAGUUUCAAAUAUACCUCGAGCAAGAUGGAGAGAUUUGAACUUUAAUCAAGCACUAUGUAUUCUAGUUUAGUUUAGAGAUACAGCAUGGAAACAGGCUCUCUGGCCCAUGAGCCCACAUUGACUAUUGAUCACCCAUUCAUAGUACUUCUAGGAUAUUCCACAUUUGCACCACUACCUACACAUCAGGGGCAAUUUACAGAGGCCAAUUUACCUACAAACCCGCUUUACUUUGGAAUGUGGGAGGAAACUGGAGCAUUCGGAGAAAAACCAUGCAGUCACAGGGAGAACAUGCUUUCCGGUGGCUUAAUUCCAUGGUUAAAACCCUGUCACGGUGCGAGUCUACCCCGAGUGAUCCCGAGUUUAAAACAAAUCAAACUCGUGGUAAUCACGUAGAAUUAACGUAGCGGGAAGGUCGGAACUCGUAACGAUAACGGCAGGUACUCGGGAAACUUGUUAACUUGUGAAAAUCUAUCACGAUGAUGCAUGUUGGCCUUCAUUGCAAGAGGAUUUGAGUUUUGGAGCAAAGAGGUCCUACUUUAGUUUACAGGGCCAUGGUGAGAUCGUACCUGGAGUAUUGUGUGCAAUUUUGGUCUCCUAAUUUGAGGAAGAAUAUUAUUGCUAUUGAGGGAGUGCAGCGUAGGUUCACAAGAUUAAUUCCCGGGAAGGCGGGACUGACACAUGAUGAAAUAAUGGGUUGACUGGACUUGUAUUGACUGGGAUUUAGAAGGAUGAGAGGGAAAUCUUAUAGAAAUAUAUAAAAUACAGGAUUGGACAUGCUAGAUGCAGGAAAAAUGUUCCCGAAGUUGGGGGAGUUCAGAACCAGGGGUCACAGUUUAAGAAUAUAGGACUGAGAUGAGGAAAAAUUGUUUUCUCUAAGAGAGUUGUGAAUCUGUGGAAUUCUGCCACAGAAGGCAGAGGAGGCCAAUUCACUGGAUGUUUUCAAGAGAGUUAGAUUUAGCUCUUACGGCUAAGUCAAGGGAUAUAGGGAAAAAGCAGGAAUGGGGUACUGUGGCAUAAAGGGCCGAAUGGCCUUGUCCUGUAUCUAUUCUCUGUUUCUAUGUUUCUAUGAAAUGAAUCAGGCAGAUAAAAGUUGAUUUUGCGUCAUGUUCCUGAGCUACACUGUUCUAUGUUUUACAUUCUAACUGUAUUUAAUCAACAAAUUUUACAUCCUGUCACGUUGCCAGUGGCAUAGCUUGACAACAGUGCAAAUAUUGGGAUAAUAUUCAAAAAUUGUGGGUUAGAGCUGUGUGUAUGACUGCUGAUGAAAAUAUUCCAAUAUUAUGUGUUUUUAUAAAUAUUAAUCCAUGUUUACAGAAAACACUUCUGGCAGUGGUGGUGUUUGGGAGGAUGUAUACUUUUAAUGAAGGGACAGGUUGUUUGAACCUGGCGACUAUUGAGUGAAAUACCUUUGCAUGUAUCUUAACAUUGCAUAAAUGAUUUCUGAAUCCAACAUCUAUCAGUUCAUAUUCUCUCACAUUGCAGCAAAGCUGGAAGCUCAGCAGCAAAAAAUCAUUGGUAUUUAGACAACACCUCCAAUGUUAACACUUUAAACAUGUUGAUAAGGAAAUGGGUGCUGGUUCAUGAAGGACAGAUGAAGAGAGGGAUGAGUACUGUGAAAAGGAUGUCAGAGAAGCAGUUUAUGAAAGUGGAGAAUGGGCUGGAGUGGUAAAGGUCAGAGACAAGCUAGAGGUCAAGGGGCUGUAGGCAGAACCCUGACACAUAGAACCGAGGGGCACCAAUCUGCUACAUCUCUGGCCCCUCGGGUUUACCCUGGUAUAAAGAGUUGGACCCCAUUCAACUGAAUUUGGGGGUAAAUGCAGUUGGAGUAUUGAAUGGAGAAGAGCUUGCACUGAGAGCGUUUUCAAUGUCUUGGUCAAGCUGAUCCAGUUUCAUAAUGAGCAGAACCAUGGAGUCCAGACGGGAUCGAUCUCGAUCUUCCCUCAUUUCC